RNAcentral lists this ribosomal RNA (433 nucleotides) under uncultured bacterium. Its description in RNAcentral is "partial 16S ribosomal RNA". It matches the Rfam family "Bacterial small subunit ribosomal RNA", at positions 29 to 507 of the family's 1533-position model. The record is from RNAcentral.
AACGAACGCUGGCGGCAUGCCUAACACAUGCAAGUCGAACGAGACCUUCGGGUCUAGUGGCGCACGGGUGCGUAACGCGUGGGAACCUGCCCUUAGGUUCGGAAUAACUCCCUGAAAGGGGUGCUAAUACCGGCUAAUGUCUUCGGACCAAAGAUUUAUCGCCGUUGGAUGGGCCCGCGUUGGAUUAGCUAGUUGGUAGGGUAAAAGCCUACCAAGGCGACGAUCCAUAGCUGGUCUGCGAGGAUGAUCAGCCAGACUGGGACUGAGACACGGCCCAGACUACUACGGGAGGCAGCAGUGGGGAAUAGUGGACAAUGGGCGAAAGCCUGAUCCAGCAAUGCCGCGUGAGUGAUGAAGGCCUUAGGGUUGUAAAGCUCUUUUACCCGAGAUGAUAAUGACAGUACCGGGAGAAUAAGCUCCGGCUAACUCCGUG